This 13684-nucleotide long non-coding RNA is filed under the name Sorghum bicolor (sorghum). RNAcentral's name for it is "long non-coding RNA (SBIC_LNC000957)". The stretch from base 5515 to 5621 matches the Rfam family "Plant small nucleolar RNA R71". Lineage: Eukaryota; Viridiplantae; Streptophyta; Magnoliopsida; Poales; Poaceae. The record is from RNAcentral.
GAGUAGUUAAAAGAUAGAACAGUCUAAUCAAGUGCCGUGUCUCUUAUUCUUGAUCAGCUAUAGCUCUGGAGUUUUUGCAGAUUUUCAAAUAAAACUCAAAGAUUCCUUGUAUGACUCUCUCAGAUCUCUCGUUUGUGGUAUUUCUAGAUCCUUACCAUGGCAGUGAUGGUAUAUGCCUUCUCUCAAGUAUGUAGUAUUUGUGGUAUAAGGCAUAGUGACAUUGCCUUCUCUCUCAUCCUACUCUCAUAAGGCUUUGAUAUCUGGAGCUCAUAGGUGGGAGAUAAAGUAUACAUACUUACAAGACAUUUAUUGCAUAGUCAAACCAUGGAUCUAGAAAAACAAGUCAAUAAGUCAAAUCAAGAUGUGCAUGUGUGGCGAAUGAAUGGUGUAUGGUGAUAACAAUGGUGAAAGUCUAAUUCUACUUUUGCUCUUUUGAGGGGAUACAUACCUUUCUUGCUCUUUUGAAACUUUUAAAUUUUGAGGAGAAUGAGAUGCUCUAUAUUUUCUUUUUCUUUCCUCUCAGGUGGGUAUUUUGUACCCCUAAUUCUACUGUCGAACACUUGUCCAUUUUUACCUCUCGUCUCACUUUUUUCUUUUCUUUCGAGGUUUUGGGCACUUGCCCCUUUUUAUUUCCUCGUAUCUUUCUCUCUUCUUUCUUUAGAGCACUUAUCUCAUGAAAUAAUAUAGCAAGUGGUAGUAACCAAGAUAAGUUGAGCAUUUAUUUCACAGGGGAAAACAGAAAUAUUUUUGGCUAUUCUCUCCCGGAUUAGGAGUAGAAUAUUUUUGGGUGGUUCUGGAGAUGGAAAUGAGUGGAUAUAUGUGGAUGGUACUUCCGGAGUAGAAGCAACAUGUGUGAGUGAACGUGCAAGUGAAUCUUGAUUUAACCACAUGACAAGCUCCUAAGGGUCUACACAGCUUGACCACACUCAAUGCUCAUAAGUAGUAAAGUAAAUGUGUGGCUCAAAGUCUAGCAAGCAUGUAUAUAUGGCUGUGGUAGGAAUUUAAACUCUCAUCAUACAGAAACUCAUCAUACAAUAUUUUAAAGAUUUUAAAAGAUAAAAUUCUCCAGAUUUCUAGCAUCUCUAGGAACAGAUAAACAGCAGCUCAACCUUCCCAUAUCAUAUCCGUUAACAACUUAGACUUUAGGUCAAGUUCUCUUCUCACAAGUUUAGGUUUAGAGCAAGCUUUAAAUUAUAUCAGUUAUGUCUAAACUAGAGAGAAAACUUAAAUUUGAAAAUUAGGCAAAGCAACUAUUCAUCACAUCCAUGCUAGAGUUUUAUUAUUAGGGUUCAGUUUAGCAUAGCCACUUUAUUUAUUUAUUAAACACACUAAGCAAAAGAUAUAUAUAUAUAAGCAUAAAAUCUUUAUUUGGUUUUUCAUAGUUAUGUAUAUUUAUAUUUUAAUAUAGUAUAAGUAUAAAGAUAGAUAGAAAUACUUAGCGAGAUAAAUGGGGGUGCUCUCCCCCAAGCUGAAUUUUGACGUAAUUUCUUCUGAUGUAGCUAGCUAGCAGGUGACAGAGGUGUAUUUGAAAGUCGGCAGUACCCUGACAGCGAUUAGAAUGUCCUCCGUCUGCUAGUCUUCUUGAUUCUUAAAUUCUGUGGAGCUCAAAUAGACAACAAAGCUUUGUGAAACCCAUUAAGUGUUAGUAUAAAUAUCUAGCCUUUAUCAUGUUGAGCCUCCCCAAUAAAUAUUACUCUCUAUUUUUAUUUUUUCAUUUUAUAGAGCAGAAUAAAUAUUUAUUUUAUUUUUAUGCCACCACAGUGAAUGUACUUAUGGAGUUUAUGCCACUCGUAUACUCACAUGGGGCUUACUGUUUUUUUAACAUUUUUAUUUUCUUUUUAGGAUAGUAUGAACAUAAUUAACUAAGUAAACUACUUUAGAUAUUUAAAAGGGAAAGGAUAACUACCAAGUUUACCUCUUGGUAUGGCGUUCGGUGUUUUUAAGUCCUCCGAACGGGACUCUCCAUUUUCUCAGUUGUCCUAGGGUUCGUUGGGUGGCGCAGUCGGUGCUUCCAGCGGUGCCUCCUCUUCGUGUAUAGUUAUCUUCUCUUUCCACACCUGACUCGGUGCUACGGUCACCUCAGGAUAGUCUUGUUCAAGCUAUAUGUCUUCAGACCUUACUACUUCUCCUUCAUAGUCAACCCAUCCAUCCUUGAUGAUUUGCCUCUUCUAGUUGCGGUUGCGUCGUCUUCUUCUAACCUGCUUAGAGUCUUCAACGAUAUAGUUAGGGUCAGUAAAAUAGCGGCGUACCUUCUCUGAGGGGAAGUGCAAAUGGACUUCUCCAUUUCCAAUGUAGAUGAUUGCUUUAACAGUGCUGAGGAACGGUCUGUUGACACUAGCUAACUCCACUUAGAUACUAGGUUGUCAUCCCUAGCAUGGCGCCAGAGUGUACAAAGGUAUUUAUAAAUGUAAAGGCUCUCUAGAAAAUAAUCUAUUCAAUCCGCAAGUGCACAGAUAAAACACCUCAUUGUAGCAUUUCACCAGGAUAAGUAUUCCAGGUAUCGUUAUUUAUAAUUCUGCUUAACAGAACAAAAGGGAUGAAAUUAAAUUAAGGACAAAAUCUAUCAAGGCAUAGACUAGAGAUAAACUUGCAAGAACAUGAUUACUAAUGAGAAACUCGUCACACAGUCACUUACUUUGGCAGGGGGUAAACCAUAAAGAUAAUGAUAAUGAAUUAUAAGUUCAAGGGAUAAAGAACAUAGCGAUUAGAAAAUAGACUACUCCUCAUAUAUGUAGGUGAUGUCGGAUUAGCUAUAGAAUGGAUUCUAAGUUAUCUACUAACUAUUAAGUCAUAAUCUACUCUAGUUAUCUACAAGAUCAUAUAUAGCAUAAAAGACUCUUCAUUCAUGUAUAAGGAACAUUGAUAAAGUAAAUCAGAGCAUCGCACGACUUACUCCACAAUACCGGUUCUGCCUGUCCUAUCAACGGAGGGUGGGCUAUAUAAGAAUCAAUGAAGCUGUCACUAUCGCGAACUACCACACGACCCGGCCAAUAGGAUACAUUUGCCGAUAAAUAACAUCUAAGCACCACGCUCACAUGUGAUCUAUCACCUAACUCCCUCGCGUCAAGAGCUAAGCGCUUUGCAAACUUAUACAUAAACUCAUUAUCAAUCAUAACUAUAUCAAAUAUAGAACUAGAGCAAACUAAGAACAUAAUAAUUAGAGACAUAAUGCAAUUAGAACAAAGAAUUAGAGAAAGAUAUGAAUAAUACCAAUCUUUAUUACCGAAGAUCCGAAUCCAGAGCGUAGUGCUCUACUUCUCUAAUUGCUAUCUAAUCAAACUUCUAAACUUGAAGGAUUAGGGAGUAGCUAAUUCUAAUUCUCUGUGGGAGAGAAGCUCUAAACCCUAACUUUGAUGGCUACCUCUGAAUAAUGAUUUCUUCUCUUCUCCUCCAGGGGCCAGGGGGUCUGGUUUUAUAGUCCCCUCAAGUGAACGUGAGCCAUUGGAUCAAACCGACAUAGAUUGUAUGGUUUAGAUUGAUCCUUUAGGUCGGUGGAGUCUUGCCCCGAAGCAGAGUCCUGAUUGGACUCCUACCCUAGGCGGGCGCCCAAGGGGGGUGGGCGGGCGCCCUGCCCCCGAGCCCGAAUCCCUUCUCGUUCGUUCCCGUGGCUUCUGGACCCUUCCAGAUUGAGGAAAAUUGCGCGGCACGUAAUUAUCUCGUUGUAAACAUGACAUGUGGGCCUUCUCUCCAUAAUUCCUGAUAACCCCCUGCAGAAAUAGAUAAACACCAAAGCUCGUGGAAUUCUGUCAGAUAAAACCCUAAUUCUAGAUGUUUGUUUCAUAUUGAUCCUUUUUCAUGUUUAUUUGAUUAUUAAUUUUAGUACUUAAGGACCGUCAACACGGUCUUCCAAGGAUGAUGGGUGGAUCGUACUCGUCUUCUCCCAUGUCAAUAACCUGAAAGUCUGUGUAGACAAAAUGAUCGUCUAUUUUGACAGGGACAUCAGUUACUAUACCUUUAACCUCUCGAAAUGUCAAAUCUACCAUCUGGAGCUGAAUGUAUGUUGGUUUUAAGGGCAUGGUUCGGAACAAGAGCCGAUAGGUGACUGCGGCCAUUAUGUUGACGCCCGAUCCGGUGUCGCAAGUCGUCUUGUAGAAGUUGUAUCCAUUUAUAGAGCAAUAGAUGCUUGGCAUUCCUGGGUCGUCCUUCUUGGUCAGAAAUGAUGACUUAAGUCGAUGAUCUUGUCCUUCAUGAACUGCAGUGACCAUCUUAGCUGACUCGGUCCACACUUGCCUGUUCCUGAUCCUCCUGUUGGUCCUCUUCCUUGAUUCAUGUCGAGAUUGCUCUGGGAUUUGUGUAGUCUUGUUCUUGAAGGAAAACGUCUCCUUCCUCCCUUUGAUGUAGAAACUGAUCUUGGCAGCACUAGCAUAGAUGACAGCUCCCGAAGUGUUUAAGAAUGGCCUCCCUAAGAUGAUGGGUGCCCUCUCAUCAUUACCGGUCUCUAUCACCACGAAGUCUGCUGGGGCGUACAAGGUACCAACUCGGACAGAGAGGUUCUUCAAUAUUCCCUUUGGGAAACUCAACGCCUGAUCUGCAAACUGCAAACACAUGGUUGUUUCUAAUAAAGGAUAUGUAAAGAAUUUUUCAUAGAGUACCCUGGGCAUAAUGUUAAUGCUGGAGCCAAAGUCGCAGAGUGCUUCUGGGAAGUCCACCAUGCCGAUGGAGAUCGGGAUGACGGGGCGUCCUGGAUCGCCUCUCUUGACCGGUAGAAGGUCAGUAGUAACUUCAGUGACGGGGUUACCCUAGUAGUGUCCUGCAUCAAACAUGUCUACAAGAUUUGCAAAUUCUAAUCCUUCCGGUUGUGAUGGUGUACCGGGGUUAGUAGCAGGAACAGCAGCAGCUAUUUGAUUUAUCUGAGAUUCAAUCAUCUUAUUAAAGCUAAUUUGAUUCUUGAUGGUAGUAGAGAAAUUAUCCAUUCUAUUAUUUAUAUUUUCUAGCAUUUUAUCAUUAGAUGCCAAUUUCUUAGAUAGGUUAUCCAUUAGCUUUCCUUGACUAGACAAUAACUCUCUGAGAGGUGGAAAAUUAUUAUUAUUGUUGUAAGAAUUGUUACCUUGAUAAUUACCUAAGUAAUUAGGCCUCUAUUGAUUCCAACCUUGAUUUUGUUGAGGACGAUUGUAAUAGUUGUUGUUGUUGUUGAUGUAGUUUACAUCCUCAAGCAUCUCAGGGCAGUGAUUGCCUGAGUGUCCAGUAUCUCCACACUCCUCACAAGUCAUGUGAGAGUCGUAGAUGUGCAUAACUUCUUUCUUAUCUCCAGCUUUAUCAUCGAGCUUCUUCAUGAGCAGGUCUAGCUUUGCAGACAGCAUGUCUACCUCCUUGAGCUGAUGUAUACCUCCACCUCUCUUGCGUGUCUGGGUCCUCUCUUCAUUCCAGCUUUGGUUGGACGCCAUCUUCUCCGCAAGAGUUGUGGCUUGUGAUAUAGUAAGUGAUAGGAAUGCUCCUCCAGCUGCAGCAUCUAUGGUCUCUCGGGCACUGUUGCUGAGCCUAUGAUAAAAUGUCUGCAUCAGUAGCCAACUCUCCAUUCCAUGAUGGGGACAUUCUAGGAUGUAGUCUUGGAAGCGCUCCCAUGCUUCUGGAACGGAUUCAUCUUGUUGUUGCUAAAAACUUGUAAUCUUCCCACGGAGACCAUUGGUCUUGCCCAUGGGAAAGAACUUAGCCAGAAAGUACAUGGAGCAGAGUGCCCACGUAGUAUUCUUCUCCUUUGUAGCAUAGAACCACUGCUUCGCUCUUCCUAAUAGUGAGAAUGGGAAGAGGCGAAGUAGUAUAGCAUCUCUAGGGACUCCUGAUAUGGUGAAUGUGCUGCAAAUCUCCAGGAAGUGUUGGAGAUGAGCACUAGCAUCUUCGUGUGCCUUCCCACAGAACUAGUUGGAUUGCACCAUGUUGAUAAGUCCAGGCUUGAGGUCAAAGUUGCCAUCAAUCUCUGCAGCAGGUCCAGAUCGAUUUGUUCGCCAUGGCUUCGAAUUCUAAAGACAAGUUUCGGUGAUCUUCUUGAAUGGAUGAAGCUUCGUGCUGAAGUGUUGAUGAUCUCUUCUUGAGCUUGGCUCUUGUUUUUCUGAAUAAUGCUUCGAAAUUGUCAACAAAAUUUCCUGGAAGAUGUCUUCUAUUCAUACAUUACCCUGCAUAAGAUAAAAUAGAAAAAUAUCAGGGUAAAAUUGUAUGAGAGAAUUGAUAAGCUCAAUCAUAUUAGUGAUGCGAAUGAUGACUCAAAAUCCUAUAUUCAUUCCUUAUUAGUAAUCAACCUUCCCCAGCAAUGGCGCAAAAAUGCUUGUUGGGCAUUCUUAACGUCACUACCAAAAGUAGACUUAGUUUCCUAAUUCUGAUAAUGGCACCAAAAAUGCCAAACCUAUCCCUCAUAUCACUUAAGCCAAGUUGUCAUCCCCAGCAUGACAUGAGAAGCGCGGUAUUGAAAUAUGCAAUUGCUCUUCUAAAUAAAUAACAAAUGAGAUCUGAAAGCACACAGAUUAAUACCGAUAAACCGGGAAGUAUUCCAAGUAUCGUUAUUUAUAUUUUUACCACUGGAAAGGGAUUAGUAAUCAUCAAUGUUGAUUAUAGAAUGGAAUAUAGAAUUGAGUAUGUAUCGUUGCAUGUAUAAUUGAGAACAUUUAUCUAACUCUUUCAUACAGGGAUAACUGUCACAUAAAGAAUAUAUAUAAAGUAAUGAAUAGUGACAAAGAUAAUUAAUCUGAUCAGCAUAACUUAGCCACAUAUAAAUAUGAUAAGAACCACAAUUAGAUAUUCUAGCAAGUCAUUAGCAUGGAAUUAGGACGAACUACAAGAAUAUUUCCUAAGUUAUUCUCAACUAUACAGUCUAGCAUAUCAUAGUUAGUGCAAUUAUAAUUAGCAAUCAUUGUGAGACAAGACUACUGUUGACGGUCCUUAAGUACUAAAAUUAAUAAUCAAAUAAACAUGAAAAAAGGAUCAAUAUGAAACAAACAUCUAGAAUUAGGGUUUUAUCUGACAGAAUUCCACGAGCUUUGGUGUUUAUCUAUUUCUGCAGGGGGUUAUCAGUGAAUAUGGAGAGAAGGCCCACAUGUCAUGUUUACAACGAGAUAAUUACGUGCCGUGCAAUUUUCUUCAAUCUAGAAGAGUCCAGAAGCCACGGGAACAAACGAGAAGAGGAUCGGGCUCGGGGGCAGGGCGCCCGCCCUAGCUAGGAGUUGGAUCAGGACUCUGCUUCGGGGCUAAACUCCACCGACCUAAAGGAUCAAUCUAAACCACACAAUCAAUGUCGGUUUGAUCUGACGGCUCAAAUUCACUUGAAGGGACUAUAAAACCAAGGCCUCUCCCCCCUGGAGGAGGGAGGAGAAGAGAAGAAAUCAUUAUUCAGAGGUAGCCAUCAAAGUUAGGGUUUAGAGCUUCUCUCCCACAGAGAAUUAGAAUUAGCUACUCCCUAAUCCUUCAAGUUUAGAGGUUUGAUUAGAUAGCAAUUAGAGAAGUAGAGCACUACGCUCUGGAUUCGGAUCUUCGGUAAUAAAGAUUGGUAUUAUUCAUAUCUGAAAGGAUCAAGAUGCCCAAGAGGGGGGGUGAAUUGGGCUUCUCUAAAAAUUUAAGCAACCUAUAAGCUCCAAUUCAACCCCUUGUGCCUAGUGUGACUUAGAGAGCUACCGGAUAAAAGUUUUGCAACAUAGUUCCAAUCCUAUUCUAGCAUGGCAAUUCUAAGAAAGUAAAAGCACAAAGUAAAUGCUAGAAAGUAAAGGAGUAGUGGAAGAAAAUGCUCGGCGAUGUUUUGCCGAGGUAUCGGAGAGUCGCCACUCUCCACUAGUCCUCGUUGGAGCACCCGCGCAAGGGUCUUGCUCCCCCUUGGUCCGCGCAAGGACCAAGUGCUCUCUACGGGCUGAUUCUUCGACACUCCGUCACGGUGAAUCGCCCAAAACCGCUCACAAGCUUGACACGAGCCACCCACAAGAACUCCAGGUGAUCUUUGUGCCUCCAAUCACCACCGAACCGUCUAGGUGAUGGCGAUCACCAAGAGUAACAAGCAAAGAACUCUCACUUGACCCAAACAAGGCACUAGAGAGUGGUGGAAGCACACUUGACUCUUGGAACUCACUAGAGGAGGAUUCUCUCAAGAAUUCACUCAAAUCUCAAUCCUCUCUAGGCUCUUUGCAACUCUCUUGCUCCACAACAAGUUUCUCUGAUGUUCAAAUGGGCAAGAGAGGUCUCAUGGACGAGGUGGAGAAGUAUAAAUACUAUCCACCAAGUCCAAAGGUCGGCCAACCGUUUUCCACUGAAAACGGGGUCACCGGACGCACGUUAUGUUGCACCGGACGCACUGCACCGAGCGUCCGGUGUGACAUAACGGCUACCUGCUCUUCUCUCUGACAGGUCACCGGACGCUAACUCGCAGCGUCCGGUGCACCGUCUGGUGCUCGGGGAAACUUUACAUGUUCCCUGCGCAUGGGACCGGACGCUACCCGGCGCGUCUGGUGCUAGCGUCCGGUGCUCAGGGGAACUUUGCAAGCUCCCUGGGUAAGGGACCGGACGCUGCCCGGUGCGUCCGGUGCCUAACCCUAAGCACCAAACUGCUCCAACGGCUAAGGACCUCACCGGACGCACUCACAGAGCGUCCGGUGCAGCGUCCGGUGCCCCUUUGGGCACCCAAACCUCAUCGAAACACGAUCGCUCCAACACGAAGUUAGUUCCUCUCGAUCUAAGGACUAUCUCUGAGCUGCCUAGUGCUAGGUUUACCAAGUGUGCACCACACCUAAACCUAAAGCCUUGCCUAAGUCAAGCUACUAGAUCAAAGCCCCUCUUAAUAGUACGGUCAAAGGAAAACAAGGUCCUAAACUACUCUAAGUGCCCUUCUUCACCAUGUGGCACUUAGACCUAGUCUAGUCUUGACGAUGUCCAUCCAUCCUUUGAAAACCGAAACGAUUUCCACUAUUAAGUAGGCAUGUACGUCCCUGUCCAUCGAGUACCUAUAUACCAUGACCUUACCUAUGACUUUGCCUCUGCAAAACACACGUUAGUCAUAGUAAUCAAUAAUGUCAUUAAUCACCGAAAUCACUAGGGGCCUAGAUGCUCUUUCAAUCUCCCCCUUUUUGGUGAUUGAUGACAACCUCGAGUAUGAAAAGAGUUGAGGUUUUCAAAGUGACUUGGUUUCAAUAAGCAUAUUACAAUAAGAAUAAAAGGAUUAGUAAUGCUUAUAUCAACCAAGUCCAAUACCCUGCAUCCAAAUAUGUGAGUGGUACACGACAGGAUAUAAACAUAAGGCUCAUAAGAAUAUCAGAGUAGACACGCGGAAGCAAAAAGUAAUAUGAGCCAAACACAUGACAAUAAGAUAUCACAUUAAGCACAAAUCAUGUCUCAUAACCACAGUAUCUCACACAAGUGCAAUGCAUUAAAGUAAACAUGAUGCAUGAUAAAGUAGCACACAUAAAGAGUAUCUCAAAAGAAUAAACUCCCUCUCUAGCUCCCCCUAACUCCUAACUCUCUCAAACGCUCUCUCAUACGCACUCUCUCCCCCUUUGGCAUCAAGCGCCAAAAACCUAAGAAGACGGUGGAGGAGGCGGAGCAGUAGAGUCCCUCGGCGCGGCCACAAAACGAGCUGCAUCAUCAGAACUAUCAGCCGUCGAGGCGGAGGAAGUGGGGUGACCCUCUGAAGCUGCAGGUGCUGGAGAAGCGGUCCGGGUCUGCUCUGGCACUGUCACAGGCUGUGCUGGCUGCUCAAGUCCGGCGGACGAAGCUGGCACGGACUCGGUCGCUGUAGCUGUCGUCUCUCGAAUGGUAGUAGACGGUGCAAGCUGCUCGGACGACGCUACGGACGAUGACAGAAGCUCUGUAGUGGUAACUGGCGCCGUAAAGACUGCAGGAGCCUGCAGAGGAGGAGGCGUAGGGUCACCAGUCAGAGCACUGUAGGUGAAGCUAAGGUGCGGAUCUGUCUGCGAGUCCCACACAAGCUGUGACGCUGAAGCUGACUGAGGGGUGAAGCCUGAGCGGAGAGGGGUAAACUGCGGUACCUGCUCAAAGCCUGAAGAGAUAGCACCCUGAGAGACCUGGUGCUGUGGCGUCGAAAACGGCUGACUCUGAGCUGGUAUCUGGAGCGGCUGCUGUGACGGGCUCUGAGUCUGGGGUGCAGGAGUAGGAGGCCUGACGGACGAUGUGCCUAGGAGCUGUAUCUGCGGUAGCUGAAUCCCGGAGGCGGCCAUGAGAGCGGCCAUCAUCGCGGUCUGCUGGGCCUGGAAAGCAAGCUGCUGCUCCUGAAAUGUAAGAAGCUGAUGCUGGAGCUAAUCCUGCCUGGCCUGCAUGGCUGCAUUGAUGGCAGCCUGAUCCUUGUCGCGCCUCGCCUGCUCCUAAGCUGCACGGCGCUGAUCUGCCCUUAUCCCCUCUAGAAUAGCAAGCAGGGCAGUGUCUGAAGCACUCGAAGAACCGCCUGCCUCGUGGUCAUGAGCUCUGGGAGGAAGGUCAGUCACUCGCGGCUGAUAGUCAUCGUCUGAACUGUCUGAGGCAAAGUCAAACUCGCCCUCUGCCUCUGCAUCGGCGAACGCCCCAAUAGCUAUAUCCUGCUGCUCCUCUGUCUCUGCAACAGCUGCUGUACUGCGGGUGCCCCUAGGAGAAGGUGGGGGCACUAGUCCACGUGGAGCACGAGGAGGAGGUGCACCGCGAAGGUCGUGGUGCGCUCUCAACAUCUGCCGGGGGUCGUAGUGAGGGAAGACGGUGUCGGACUCUGUCAACUCCCUCUGCAAGUGAGCUGGCAGGGGCAGUGGCCUAGCACGAAGUAUAAGUAGAGUGAUCCAAUGUGCAUACGGCAACUGACGCCGUCCCCUGAAGCUCUCUGAAAUGGUGUCCUCAAUCUCAGAGACAAUCAAAUCCCACAAAUCAAACUGCGUCUGGGAGAUAAGGUGAGCGACGAGCCACUGCUGCAUACGAGUGAAACCGUCUCUGUAGCCUGUCCUGGGAAGAAGAGUCUUCCUCAACACAAAGUCAAGGACCCUGGCUGGGCGUGUCAAGUCUGCCACUAUCCUGCUGGAGCCUUCCCCAAAAGGUGCACGCAAACAGGGAGCCACGAAGUCAACUGGUGGUAUCUCACCACCGUGAGGACGACGAGGGGGAUCCACGUUCCCGUAGCACAGCUGGUGAAUCCUAGUGGGAGAGGCUCGCAGUCCAAGCACCUCUCUGGCCCUCUGAGCUGUCACUCUGUAGUCUGUCCCCGCCAGUGCGUAGUGUAUAUAACUGUGAUCUGGAGAAACCCACACUGACGCGUAGAACUCUCUGACCCACUGCUCACAGUAAGUGCCGGGGAGUGCUAGUAACUCUGGAAGUCCGUGGAGGUAGGUAAAAUACUGACGAAUAUCAGCUCCAACCACGUUCCCCAGUAUCUCCAGGUCGAUCACUCUGUGCUCCCUGAACUGAGCCUGAGAGCGAACCAGUGCCUCGUAGAUGUCCUCCUGGAUGACUAUGUAGAACCUGGCACCGGCUCUAGGAUCCCUGGCAGCUGGAAACCAGGUGGGAAACAGAACGAACCUCAGCUGCUGGAUCUCUCUUGCUGACACAAGAGAAAGAUCCCUGUGGAUCCUGACUGGCCUCGGGCGUGAAGCUGGUGUACCUCUCGCUGGAGUGGCACGAGCUGUGGAAGUGGACUGACCCGGCGUGCCGGUCCGAGGAACAGCCUGGGUGCGAGCACGAGUCGACCUCCUGAGUGGCUGCUCCUGCUCCUGCUCCUGUGCUGGACCCUCUGCCUGGGUCUCUGUCUCAGUGUCUGGAUCCUCCUAAGCUGGAUCCCUAACCACAAGCCUAACCCUCUGUCCUCCAAUCGUCACGGUGCCUGGAGGGGAUCCAUGGAAUGCCUCUGCCUCAAGCACUGCAUGCCUCUGACACGGCGUAAGAUCAUCCCCAAUCCUCAAAGCACCUACUCGACCACCUCUCUCUGCAGCAUCUGCUGCUGCUGCCACUGCCUCUACGACCUCUGCAUCUCUGUCACUGGCCUUGCGCUUCUUGGUGGCCAGCUUCUUUCCUUUGCCUUUCUCUGCUGCUGAGAAGCGACGGGGAGGAUCACCUCCACCAUCACCUCCUGAGGCACCUCCAGUGCCGGCUGUCGGACCGCUGACAUUCUUGGUACGAGCCAUAGCAAGACAAACGUCCGACAAAACAACUGACUGGCAAUGGAGAACAAAACACUGCAGAGAAUUGACAAGAUAGGAUUUAUAUGAGCAAAUAUAUCGACUAGAGAUGAGACAAACCUAUAGAUCGCAAGGAUAGAUAAGAUAUGGACGCGAAAAGCUUACGAUCCUCGGACGAGAUGCGUUCCGGACGAAACCUUUCACUCGAAAACCACCGAAGAAAGCAAAUCUUUUCCUCAAGAUGCUGCAACGGGAAAGCAAUCGAGAUAGGGAUCAAAAACUAAAAACGAAUGUCGUUGACACAUACGAUCAAACACCUUGAGGGCAAAGUCCAAGGAUCUUACCCAAACCCUAACCCUUCGCAGAGGAGAGAGUUCUGGCAAGAGGAGGGAAGAGAGAGAGCCUUGGAGCAGAUCUGUCGCGAGGAGGAGAGCUGAGGGCGCCGCGGAUUCGAUGAGCUUCGAAGGCCGCGGCGGAUUACGGCGGCUAGGGCACGGGUGUGAUGAGGAAGAUGAAAAAAACUACCGCGGAGAGCCCCUGGGCGCAGGCUAUAUCCGCCCACCGCGGGGUCACCGGACGCUCUUUAUGUGGCACCGGACGCGUCCGGUGACCACCGGACUCAUGCGCAGAGAGGUCUGAAAAACAGCAUUGCACCUGACGAUGGGCACCGGACGCUGGCCUUAGCGUCCGGUGCUUCAGGUCACACCAGGUGAGCACCGGACGCACCACACCGGACGCUGCAGGAACAUUGUUCCUGCGUCCGGUGCAUGCAAUCUGGCACGCUCACCGCACCGGACGCUCAGAGGCAGCGUCCGGUGCAUCGUCCGGUGCUCCUCUGAGCACUUAUCCAACUAUGCACCACGUCCGAGUUUGACCCAACCAAGUUCCAUCUUCAAAAACACACAAGUAAACACCAAAUGGAAUUGGUAUGAGUGACACCUCUCAAACUCUCAAAUUUUCACAAAUAUUUAGCCAUAGGCUUAGUAGUUUUUAUGAAGGUAGUUCGAGAAAAAAAUCACCAAGGAGCAUCGUAUGGCCAUAAAGCUAGGGGUUUGAAUCAUAAUGAGCUUUGAAUGCUCCCCCUAUCUAUGGACGAACGCAGCGGAUGCUCAACGAAUAACCGAAAAGAAACGAUCAACUAACAAGCAUGCACAUGAUAUGAGUUGUAAUGCUGUACUUGAGAGAAAACUAAUGCUUGUCAAGUUUGAUCCAAGGUUAAGCUUUUUCACACACACAAGGGGGUUAUCUUAACCAAGUUAGACAAGCCCUACAUGCAAGUUAUAUUUUUAGUUUUAGUAUGCAUGAUAUGCAAAGCAAAAGUUAUUUACAAGAUUCAACACACAACUUUUAUCUUUUAGUGAAGUUGGAUAGGUCAAGCACAUUAAGUUCAUUUCUCAACAUACAAAACCUAGCUUCAUCUAGGGGUUUUGUGAAGAUAUCCGCCAAUUGAUUUUCCGUUCCCACAUUCUCUAGGGAUAUGUCACCUUUAGCAACGUGAUCCCUAAGGAAGUGGUGGCGGAUGUCAAUAUGUUUUGUGCGGGUGUGUUGAACCGGGUUGUUUGCAAGUUUUACGGCACUUUCGUUGUCACACAACAAAGGUACUUUGUCUAGUACUACUUCAUAGUCUAGCA